GGCAUUAGCUCCUUCACCAAGGAACUCCUUUUUCAAAAAGACUGCUCUGCUGCUAACAAAAACUUUUUACUCAGCAGUAAAGUAAAAGUAAUACCCUUUAGUUUCUUUAGGAUAUCCUACAAACAAGCAAAUAUUAGACUUAGAUCCAAGCUUAUCUGUCUCUAAACGCUUGACAUAAGCUGGACACCCCCAGAUCCUAAGGU
This 203-nucleotide long non-coding RNA is filed under the name Elaeis guineensis (African oil palm). RNAcentral's name for it is "long non-coding RNA (EGUI_LNC076706)". Lineage: Eukaryota; Viridiplantae; Streptophyta; Magnoliopsida; Arecales; Arecaceae. The record is from RNAcentral.